CCUGAAUCCCCCACUGUUUUCUUUUCUUAUCCCAGCAGUUAAUGGGAUUAGUCUGACUGAAUCCACCAUAUCAUUCUUUUACUAGAGUAUUCUGUGCUCGGUGCAGCCCCAACGGCUGCAGCGACUGGCGCAUGUGACGAGGAAGUGUGGAAAUGAGUCACAGAUGAGAACGCAAAUGAAAACAAUUUUUACAAGGGCCUCUGAAUAUGAAACUACACCAGUAGAGAAUGAAACAAUAGAAACAGAGAGAUGGAUUUCAGCAAGAGGAGCAUGAACUGAAGCUUGUGAAUGGCAGAGAAAAAAGAAACUGAGAAGAAUCUAGUAAACACCAUGGUUGACUUUACGCAUCCACGAGGUGUUAAGCUUCUGGACUGACUGACCGCUGCUUGUUUCUUCGACAUUCUAACUCUGCUCCAAACUACUUUCUGCCUCCCGAGCGGCUCUGUUUGGCGUGAAAACGUGGGUCCGUGUGAUUGAGUGGUCGGACGACGAACAGACGGCGUCGGUCUCGGCCUCCAACCGGCAGCGUCUGAAAGAUUAAAGCGCCCUUCCUCCGCUCCGCCGACGGCUUAAGGACAUAAUCAGUGUGAUGGCCGUCCAGAUGAAGUCACUGCUAUUUUUUCUGCUGUCGCCGCCGCCUCCUCAUACACUGACUCAUCAUAAUCAACAUGUCUUUGACUCAUCAUAUUAACAUGGCUAGUUGGCUCACGUCAUAGUAAUAACACUAAAAGCCAAUGACUCAGUGUUGAGUGAGUUUGACAGCCCAUCCUCCGACUGCUACAUCUCCCCUCUUCGUCUUUCUGCUGAUUCCCUUCCGCCCAUCGCCAUUUUCUCCUCUUUCUUCUCCUCCUCCUCAGUCCUACUUUUUCUUCCUCCCACUCUUUCUUUUUCGCUUCUUCCCAUCUCCAUCUCUCUUACACUCCUCCUCGUCUUCUUGACUUCGGGAAAAACAGAACUUCUCACUUUGAAUAGCUCUCAAAAAGCCAAACUUCGCCAAAGAAAACGAUGUGUAAAGAAACACAUGCAGAGUCCACUCCUUCUUCUUUUGUGUAAAAAGUACAGUACAGUAGGUGUGAAGUUCUUCAGCUUCUCCCCUGCUGUCCGCUGUGUUUUGAAGAAGGCAGAAUUCUCUCUUUAUGGUAUUUCUGAGCAUGAAUGUGGGAAGGCUGAAUCGAUAGCGGGCCGCUCAUCUAAACGCUGCCCUGGGCGGCAAAAUAAAUGGGUCAAACAGCGAACUGCGUCACGGCGGCCAUCAAUAGUACUCUGAUCAAUAAAAACACAACAUCGAUGCAACUUUCUGUGACGGCCACACGGGAAGCCAAACUGUACUUUCAGUGCAGCUGCUGGUGCUUAAAAUACUGUGCGUUAUUAUAACCAUCGAUCACAUUUUCCACUGUUCUGGGAGGGCACUUCUGUCCUCACACAUCCAGAUGUGCAGUUUGGAACUCUGCAGGAGGUAUAAUAUCUUGCAGGGUCUUUGUUGAUGUUGUUUUUCCGCAGCUUAAUGCUAAAUUAUAUGAGAGAUCACACAAAUGCUGAUGAAUUCACUGUAAAGACAAGAAUAUGCUUUAUAAACGCCCUUUUCCUUGUACUGUUUCCCCUCUUUGUGUUUUUAUGGACCACCUGAAGGCUGCACUAUGAAGAGACAUUAACGUGUUAUGUUGAGCCUAAAGUUGGAGUUGUCAGCUCUUCAACCUGUUAGAUCACCUUAUUAACUGACAAUAACCUGCUCCAGACGAGGUUCUGUUCAGAGUUUGGGAUUUAAAUUAAUUAAAAGAACUGUCUUCCUUUCA
Acanthochromis polyacanthus (spiny chromis) is the source of this 1793-nucleotide long non-coding RNA. RefSeq lists it as uncharacterized. The transcript has 3 exons. The record is from RefSeq and is a predicted model, not a curated record. NCBI's taxonomy places the organism in Eukaryota, Metazoa, Chordata, Actinopteri, Pomacentridae.